RNAcentral lists this ribosomal RNA (434 nucleotides) under uncultured Lachnospiraceae bacterium. RNAcentral describes it as "bacterial SSU rRNA". It matches the Rfam family "Bacterial small subunit ribosomal RNA", at positions 341 to 792 of the family's 1533-position model. Lineage: Bacteria; Bacillati; Bacillota; Clostridia; Lachnospirales; Lachnospiraceae. The record is from RNAcentral.
ACGGGAGGCAGCAGUGGGGAAUAUUGCACAAUGGGGGAAACCCUGAUGCAGCGACGCCGCGUGAGUGAAGAAGUAUUUCGGUAUGUAAAGCUCUAUCAGCAGGGAAGAAAAUGACGGUACCUGACUAAGAAGCCCCGGCUAACUACGUGCCAGCAGCCGCGGUAAUACGUAUGGAGCAAGCGUUAUCCGGAUUUACUGGGUGUAAAGGGUGCGUAGGUGGCAGGGCAAGUCAGAUGUGAAAGACCGGGGCUCAACUCCGGGGCUGCAUUUGAAACUGUCUUGCUGGAGUGCAGGAGAGGUAAGCGGAAUUCCUAGUGUAGCGGUGAAAUGCGUAGAUAUUAGGAGGAACACCGGUGGCGAAGGCGGCUUACUGGACUGAAACUGACACUGAGGCACGAAAGCGUGGGGAGCAAACAGGAUUAGAUACCCUGGUA